UGUGGUUAAAAAGCUCGUAGUUGGAUCUCAACAGCCUUGAAGCGGUUAACUUUAUAGUUUUACUGCUUUAUAGGCUGUGCUUUUGCUGGAGGUUUAGGGGUGCUCUUGAUCGAGUGUCUCUGGAUGCCAGCAGGUUUACUUUGAAAAAAUUAGAGUGCUCAAAGCAGGCUAAAAUGCCUGAAUAUUCGUGCAUGGAAUAAUAGAAUAGGAUGUCGAUCCUAUUUUGUUGGUUUUCGGGACUCGACAUAAUGAUAAAUAGGGACAGUCGGGGGCAUUUGUAUUCAAACGACAGAGGUGAAAUUCUUGGACCGUUUGAAGACAAACUACUGCGAAAGCAUUUGCCAAGAAUGUUUUCAUUAAUCAAGAACGAAAGUUAGAGGUUCGAAGGCGAUUAGAUACCGCCCUAGUUCUAACCAUAAACGAUGCCAGCUAGCGAUCUGCCUGCGUUUUUACUGUAGACUGGGCAGGAAGCUUCCGGGAAACCAAAGCAUUUGGGUUCCAGGGGAAGUAUGGUUGCAAAGCUGAAACUUAAAGGAAUUGACGGAAGGGCACCACCAGGAGUGGAGCCUGUG
RNAcentral lists this ribosomal RNA (572 nucleotides) under uncultured marine eukaryote. RNAcentral describes it as "SSU rRNA". It matches the Rfam family "Eukaryotic small subunit ribosomal RNA", at positions 614 to 1187 of the family's 1831-position model. The record is from RNAcentral.